CCUACGGGAGGCAGCAGUGGGGAAUAUUGGGCAAUGGGCGCAAGCCUGACCCAGCAACGCCGCGUGAAGGAAGAAGGCUUUCGGGUUGUAAACUUCUUUUAAGAGGGAAGAGCAGAAGACGGUACCUCUUGAAUAAGCCACGGCUAACUACGUGCCAGCAGCCGCGGUAAUACGUAGGUGGCAAGCGUUGUCCGGAUUUACUGGGUGUAAAGGGCGUGCAGCCGGGAAGGCAAGUCAGCUGUGAAAUCCCGGGGCUCAACCGCGGAACUGCAUUUGAAACUGGUUUUCUUGAGUACCGGAGAGGUCAUCGGAAUUCCUUGUGUAGCGGUGAAAUGCGUAGAUAUAAGGAAGAACACCAGUGGCGAAGGCGGAUGACUGGACGGCAACUGACGGUGAGGCGCGAAAGCGUGGGGAGCAAACAGGAUUAGAUACCCUAGUAGUC
This 442-nucleotide ribosomal RNA is filed under the name uncultured bacterium. RNAcentral describes it as "partial 16S ribosomal RNA". It matches the Rfam family "Bacterial small subunit ribosomal RNA", at positions 338 to 795 of the family's 1533-position model. The record is from RNAcentral.